RNAcentral lists this ribosomal RNA (249 nucleotides) under Triticum aestivum (bread wheat). RNAcentral's name for it is "partial small subunit ribosomal RNA". Lineage: Eukaryota; Viridiplantae; Streptophyta; Magnoliopsida; Poales; Poaceae. The record is from RNAcentral.
AUGUUCCGCGUUCGGCUAGAGAAUGACACCAUCAUCCUAGGCUAUAUUUCAGGAAAGAUACGGUCUAGUUCUAUACGAAUACUGAUGGGGGAUAGGGUCAAAAUUGAAGUAAGUCGUUAUGAUUCAAGCAAGGGACGUAUAAUUUAUAGACUUCCCCAUAAGGAUUCGAAGCGUAUCGAAGACUCGAAGGAUAGCGAAGAUUUGAAGGAUAGCAAAGAUUUGAAGGAUACCAAAGAUUCAAAGGAUUAG